Molecule: ribosomal RNA, 449 nt
Filed under: uncultured bacterium
Lineage: Bacteria
Description: bacterial SSU rRNA
Rfam family: Bacterial small subunit ribosomal RNA
Source: RNAcentral
UGGGGAAUUUUGGACAAUGGGCGCAAGCCUGAUCCAGCAAUGCCGCGUGUGUGAAGAAGGCCUUCGGGUUGUAAAGCACUUUUGUCCGGAAAGAAAACCUCUGCCCUAAUACGGUGGGGGGAUGACGGUACCGGAAGAAUAAGCACCGGCUAACUACGUGCCAGCAGCCGCGGUAAUACGUAGGGUGCAAGCGUUAAUCGGAAUUACUGGGCGUAAAGCGUGCGCAGGCGGUCCGCUAAGACAGAUGUGAAAUCCCCGGGCUUAACCUGGGAACUGCAUUUGUGACUGGCGGGCUAGAGUAUGGCAGAGGGGGGUAGAAUUCCACGUGUAGCAGUGAAAUGCGUAGAGAUGUGGAGGAAUACCGAUGGCGAAGGCAGCCCCCUGGGCCAAUACUGACGCUCAUGCACGAAAGCGUGGGGAGCAAACAGGAUUAGAUACCCCGGUAGUCC